UGAUGGUGACAAAGCUCGCAUGGGAAGCCGCACCUAAUCAUGUCAUCGCGGGCAAUGCAGCCCCCUUGCCGCCGUGCAUGCCACCUCUGAAUUUCAUAUUGCGGAAUGUUGCUAGCGAUCCUGACGGCAGCGCCACUCACGCCGGCCUUUCUUUUUGAUGCGCUCGUCUGGCCGGCAGGUUUCGGAGAGAUCAAUAUCGUGAAACGUCCGGGUCUUUACGUCGAGGUUGAUCGUUGCGUUGAGAUUGACGUGAG
Molecule: unclassified non-coding RNA, 254 nt
Filed under: Hevea brasiliensis (rubber tree)
Lineage: Eukaryota; Viridiplantae; Streptophyta; Magnoliopsida; Malpighiales; Euphorbiaceae
Source: RNAcentral